GUGCCAGCAGCCGCGGUAAGACGAACCGUACAAACGUUAUUCGGAAUCACUGGGCUUAAAGGGUGCGUAGGCGGCUCAGAAAGUUGGGUGUGAAAUCCCUCGGCUCAACCGAGGAACUGCGCCCAAAACUACUGAGCUCGAGGGAGACAGAGGUAAGCGGAACUUAGGGUGGAGCGGUGAAAUGCGUUGAUAUCCUAAGGAACACCAGUAGCGAAAGCGGCUUACUGGGUCUCUUCUGACGCUGAGGCACGAAAGCUAGGGGAGCGAACGGGAUUAGAAACCCCCGUAGUCC
RNAcentral lists this ribosomal RNA (292 nucleotides) under uncultured bacterium. RNAcentral's name for it is "partial 16S ribosomal RNA". It matches the Rfam family "Bacterial small subunit ribosomal RNA", at positions 505 to 796 of the family's 1533-position model. The record is from RNAcentral.